GAUGAAGAACGUAGCGAAAUGCGAUAAGUAAUGUGAAUUGCAGAAUUCAGUGAAUCAUCGAAUCUUUGAACGCAUCUUGCGCUCCUUGGUAUUCUGAGGAGCAUGCCUGUUUGAGUGUCAUUAAAUUCUCAACUACACUGACUUUGAAUUGGUGUGGCUUGGAUUUGGGUGGGAAAAUUGUUGUGGGCUUUUUGUAUAGUCUGCUCCCCUGAAAUUGAUUAGCGGUACCUUUGUGGAACUGUCUACAGGUGUGAUAAUUAUCUACAUCCUAGACAUCUGCUGGAAUGCUGCUUUCUAAACCUUACUUGUAUUGACAAUCUUGACCUCAAAUCAGGUAGGACUACCCGCUGAACUUAAGCAUAUCAAUAAGCGGAGA
RNAcentral lists this unclassified non-coding RNA (376 nucleotides) under soil metagenome. RNAcentral describes it as "partial contains 5.8S ribosomal RNA, internal transcribed spacer 2, and large subunit ribosomal RNA". The stretch from base 1 to 120 matches the Rfam family "5.8S ribosomal RNA", at positions 35 to 154 of the family's 154-position model. The record is from RNAcentral.